Molecule: ribosomal RNA, 481 nt
Filed under: Urophonius brachycentrus
Lineage: Eukaryota; Metazoa; Arthropoda; Arachnida; Scorpiones; Bothriuridae
Description: partial 16S ribosomal RNA
Rfam family: Bacterial large subunit ribosomal RNA
Source: RNAcentral
GGUUUUUAGAUUUUAUUAAAAAUCAAUCCUGCUCAAUGUAUCAAUAAAUAGCCGCGGUAUUAUGACCGUGCAAAGGUAGCAUAAUAAUUAGUCCUUUAAUUGUGGACUGGAAUGAACGGUUUGACUAAAUAUUUUUGUCUUAUAUUUAUAUUUUGAAUUUUAUCUUUUGAUAAAAAAGUUAAAAUAAACUUAAGGGACGAGAAGACCCUAUCAAGCUUUACAAUUUAUUUUUAUUUUCAAACUAAAAAAAAGAUUGUUUCACUGGGGCAGUGAAUAAAAAGUUUUUAUUUAAAUAUUGUGAAUUCAUUUCUAGAAAAAUCAAUAAUUUCUUAAAUAGGAAUAAGUUACUGUAGGGAUAACAGCAUAAUUUUUUUAAAGAGUUCUCAUCAUCAAAAAAGUUUGUGACCUCGAUGUUGGAUUAAAAUACCUAAUUUAUGAAGUAGUUUAUAAAGGAAGUCUGUUCGACUUUUAAAAUUUUCCA